Molecule: ribosomal RNA, 286 nt
Filed under: uncultured bacterium
Lineage: Bacteria
Description: partial 16S ribosomal RNA
Rfam family: Bacterial small subunit ribosomal RNA
Source: RNAcentral
AGGCGGCGUAAGCUGUCGCUAUGGGAUGGCCCCGCGGUGCAUUAGCUAGUUGGUAAGGUNACGGCUUACCAAGGCGAUGAUGCAUAGCCGAGUUGAGAGACUGAUCGGCCACAUUGGGACUGAGACACGGCCCAAACUCCUACGGGAGGCAGCAGUAGGGAAUCUUCCACAAUGGACGCAAGUCUGAUGGAGCAACGCCGCGUGAGUGAAGAAGGUUUUCGGAUCGUAAAGCUCUGUUGUUGGUGAAGAAGGAUAGAGGUAGUAACUGGCCUUUAUUNGACGGUAA